GGGGUUGUGGCUCAGUGGUAGAGUGCUUGCCUGGCACAUAUGAGGCCCUGGGUUCAAUUCUUAGCAUCACAU
This is a non-coding RNA of Ictidomys tridecemlineatus (thirteen-lined ground squirrel), 72 nucleotides long. Lineage: Eukaryota; Metazoa; Chordata; Mammalia; Rodentia; Sciuridae. The record is from Rfam.